UGGACCUUGGCUCAGUGGUAGAGUGCUUGCCUUGCAUGCAUGAGGCCCUGGGUUCCAUUCCUCAGCACCAC
Molecule: transfer RNA, 71 nt
Filed under: Dipodomys ordii (Ord's kangaroo rat)
Lineage: Eukaryota; Metazoa; Chordata; Mammalia; Rodentia; Heteromyidae
Rfam family: tRNA (bases 8-65)
About the family: Transfer RNA (tRNA) molecules are approximately 80 nucleotides in length. Their secondary structure includes four short double-helical elements and three loops (D, anti-codon, and T loops). Further hydrogen bonds mediate the characteristic L-shaped molecular structure. tRNAs have two regions of fundamental functional importance: the anti-codon, which is responsible for specific mRNA codon recognition, and the 3' end, to which the tRNAs corresponding amino acid is attached (by aminoacyl-tRNA synthetases). tRNAs cope with the degeneracy of the genetic code in two manners: having more than one tRNA (with a specific anti-codon) for a particular amino acid; and 'wobble' base-pairing, i.e. permitting non-standard base-pairing at the 3rd anti-codon position.
Source: Rfam by way of RNAcentral